RNAcentral lists this ribosomal RNA (468 nucleotides) under uncultured bacterium. RNAcentral describes it as "partial 16S ribosomal RNA". It matches the Rfam family "Bacterial small subunit ribosomal RNA", at positions 28 to 507 of the family's 1533-position model. The record is from RNAcentral.
GACGAACGCUGGCGGCGUGCUUAACACAUGCAAGUCGAACGGACAGGCCCUGCUUUUGUGGGGUGCUCGAGUGGCGAACGGGUGAGUAACACGUGAGUAACCUGCCCUUGACUUUGGGAUAACUCCAGGAAACUGGGGCUAAUACCGGAUAGGAGCUCCUGCUGCAUGGUGGGGGUUGGAAAGUUUCGGCGGUUGGGGAUGGACUCGCGGCUUAUCAGCUAGUUGGUGAGGUAGUGGCUUACCAAGGCUUUGACGGGUAGCCGGCCUGAGAGGGUGACCGGCGACAUGGGGACUGAGAGACGGCCCAGACUCCUACGGGAGGCAGCAGUGGGGAAUAUUGCACAAUGGGCGGAAGCCUGAUGCGGCAACGCCGCGUGCGGGAUGACGGCCUUCGGGUUGUAAACCGCUUUCGCCUGUGACGAAGCGUGAGUGACGGUAAUGGGUAAAAAAGCACCGGCUAACUACGUG